UGGCGUCCUUAGAAACGAAAUACUUAAGGUUGUGUCUAAGGAGACAAGGUUAAACUCUUUGAAGGUGUUGGUAACCAUGUUUAGUAUCUUAUGGGUGUUAAAAAUAACUGAUUAGUUGUUAGUUAAUUGUUAUUAUGAAUCAGGCGCACACUGCCAAAAGUGUUAGUAUUGUUCCACUUGAUAGUAAUAUACCUUUAUUUUGUUUUUCACAUUUUAUUCGCUUUUUUUGGAGAGUUGGUUGAUUUAUUGGGCGUCUGAUAUUGACAUAGACAGUGUAAGUCGAAUCACACGAGGAUGUCUGCAUCUGUUAAACUAAGCCCGUCACCUCCAUCUCUGCCGAAGCCAGCGGGACGGAAGGUUAAAAUCAAUAAAGCCGUUCCGUUUACCGGAGAAUCCGAAAGAGCCCGCAGAGAGCAGCCGGCCUCUGGGGAUCGGUCCAGCCUGCAGCUCCCGUCCCUACGCAAUGAUUUCAUUCCCGAUGAGCUGUUCAACUCGCUCAUUUCUACGGUGAAUCCCUUGGAGACAUCCAGAUCCUCCAGAGUCACCAGGAAAGGCUUCAGGGUCCGUGGUUUGGGCAAAACAGAUGCAGCCUGGUACCACGCAUUUGGGAGAAAGAAAUACAAGUAUUUUCUGGACCAGCCGACUUCCGUGACCGGAGCUGGGAGAGAUAUCUCCUUCCUACACGAUGCCAUAUCCGCGCAGAAGAAAGUGAGUCUUCUGCCCCCGGUGGCAGACCUGGGAAGCGUCCAGAAGGAUGUAAACCUGAUGGGGAGUCUGAUACCAGAGGAGUAUCACAUUGUAAAGAACAAAGGUGUAGCUGGCCUGACAUACUAUGAGGACAAGUACACCAUCCUCCUGGAGGAUGAGGAGAACAGGCUGAAGAUCUUCCCAUCACUGAAACCCAGCGGGAGGCUGGAAGCGGUGCAGCUGAUGAGAGUGAUGGAUGCAAUGCUGGACAAGGCCGGGGUCAAUCGGGACUUCCCAGAGCUGAGGGAGUCCUCACAGAUGCAGGGUCUUCUGGAGUUAGUGCAGGUGGAGCAGAACAUCUACAACGUUGUCUUCCAUGAGGUGAUCCGGCAGGUCAGCGUGGAAUGUGCGGAGAGAGGGCAGCUGCUGUCCAAGCUCAGACAGCGGUAUGCCGCCCUGCUGGACCGCAUCCCACGGCAACUGAAGGGGCUGCACACGGAGAGCCUGGCUCAGCGGGCCCUGGACCGGCGUCUGAUGGAGGAGAUCACUGGCUUCAAGAGCUCCGUCUCUCAGCUCAGCAACGAGCUGAGCAACAUGAAGACCCAAGAUGAAAACAUGUCAGGACAAGUAGCCAAGGCACAGGAUGACCUAUCCAAGGCACUGGAACAGUCACAGAGGAACUCAGACCUGGUCGCAGAGUACCACCAGCUGUAUGAGAUGCAGCGCCGGAGGCUGGAGGCUCAGGUGGCCCAGCUGACUGAGGAGAGGAACCUCUGGAGCAGAGUCAGUUACAGUGUGGUUCUUAAGGUGAUUGAGGCGAAGAAACUCCAGGUGGCUGAGAGGCUGCACGUCAGCGAGCGGACCUGGGCCGAGCUGGCAGAGCACUUUGUCACACUGCUGACAUCCAGGGACGCAGAGGAUGUGAGCUGCAUCCUGCAGUUGACAGACCAGUGGAAAGACCACGUACGUGGUUUCGUGCGGGAGAUGGAGACGGCCGAACGCAGCCAUUGUGAAAAAAUGGGGGCCGUCGGGGCCGGCGUUGCAAAAUGGCACCAGCGGUCUCUGGCUAAUGUCAAGGGACUAGACAAGAUGUCCAAUAAGGAGUCAGAGGAAAGUUUGCUUAAUGACAUAAAACACUGGCUGGCAGCAUUGAACCUGCAAAGUGACCUUUAUGCAGGCAGCGACCUUCGCUUCCAGGAGACCCUGGACUUGCUGUCGCAGCUGCACGAGGGAUGGCUGGAGGUGGGCUUGCGGCUUUUUAAGAGGCACCUUCAGCCCGAUGGGCAGCCCCCUGCGGGGUGGCGAGCCAUGCAGAAUCUGAAUGCGACUAUCUCAGAGCUCCACAUGCAGCUGGGCACUCGUGCAGCUGGGGAGAGCGGUGCCCGCAGGCUGCUGAUAUCUCUAGCCAGCACGAUGGAGCCCUGGGCUGCCAAGCUAACGGCAGCGAGUGACUGGCCAGGAGGCAUGCCCCCUUGUGAUUGGUUGCAGCUGGAGAAGGCUCUGGCCAACUGGAUAAAGCUAACAGAUGGAGGCCUGGAGCAAGUGUCCAGGACCCAGCCAGGGAGCGAGAAGCAGAGUCCCCACAUCAGGAUAAAUGUUGAUGAGGUUCUCGCUAUACUACGUGAGUUUGUCUUCACGCAAAGCAGCUUUUUUGACUGCGAAAACCAAAAGUUAAGAGAGGAGGUGAACUCUAUUCACACCUCCCUGACUCGCUGGAUGGUAGCUCUGCUUCUCCUUAUGGUUCCCAAUUACACCGGUGACCCCGAGGCACCCCAGUUACCAGGCCCCGAAGGAGACGGCUACCCUCUCACAGUACAGGAGCUGGAGGAGGACGCCAGAUGCGUCGUGCAAAAGCUGGACAGAUUCUCCAAGUAUCUCAUCAACUUAUGUCAACCUGUUGUUGAAGAGGACAUCCAAAGGGGAAUGGGAGAUGAGUCAGAAAGUGAGCUUGUUGAGCUCAAAAAAUUACAGCGGGAGUGUGGAGAGUGGAUAGACGCGUGUCAGAUCCUGCUGUCAGGUCUGAGGGGACAUCCGGUGGACCUGCAGGUGACCACGACCGUCGCCUGGGCUGUGACAGAGUCCGGCGCUGACGUCCUUCCCGCUGUAGAGUCCCACAAAGAAUUGUUGGUGGAUCAAGUGACAGGGUCAUCUGCAGCCUCGGAGCUGGGAGGAGCAGUGCUGGGAGAGCAGGAGGUGCCAGAUAGUCCAGAAGAAGCAGCCCAUCUGAAGCUGAUUGGUCAUGACGGCGACAUUGUCGAACAGAGCCUGGGGGCAGAAACUGUACUGCUGGCAGCGACGGAGACCCAGGUCAUGCGCCCACAGACUCCCAGUGCGCAGAGAGCCUUUGAUGCCCUGGACACCAUUGGGCUGCUCCAGCAGCAGUUACUAGGGGCAGAGCAGCGGGCCCUAAGCGCAGAAGAACGGGCUCUGAGCAUGGAGGAGUCGCUGCAGGCUGCACUGGUCAGGAUCCACGAGCUGGAGCAGCAGAUCCAGGGAGGAGGCGCCAUGGAGGAGAGAGAUGACAGCGUUUUGGCACCAGCACCUAAAGGAGAGUCCCCAGACCCCAAACCAGCGAGUGCAAAGACAAAAAGCAGGAGGCCAAAGCUGGCGCAGAAGCCCUGAUCUCCAUUGUCAGGCCACAGGACUCUCCGGAAGACACUAAUCCCAGUGUUAGGAAGCAGUAAACAUUCAGCUGUCCGGGUGUAUCUCUCAGUAGGGGGACACCAAAGUCAAGCAGAGCUGGAUGCUCGCCCUGGAACCAGAGCCCAGACAUAAACACAAACUUCAUGUCCUGUUACGUAAUGCUCCGAAUCCCAGGCCCCAUCACACUUUUAGAAGCACGUCCGCCCUUGAGGUAGCCAACAACUUGAGAGGCCCUCGUGCCGAGCCGCGUGGAAACCGAAGCACCUGGAUUUCCUUGGUGAUGUCCUU
RNA transcript from Brienomyrus brachyistius, 3618 nucleotides. It is a transcript of the gene named axonemal dynein light chain domain containing 1, with no coding region annotated. The record is from RefSeq and is a predicted model, not a curated record. The transcript is spliced from 26 exons. Lineage: Eukaryota; Metazoa; Chordata; Actinopteri; Osteoglossiformes; Mormyridae.